Molecule: non-coding RNA, 98 nt
Organism: Ascosphaera aggregata
Lineage: Eukaryota; Fungi; Ascomycota; Eurotiomycetes; Onygenales; Ascosphaeraceae
Source: the annotation of a GenBank genome assembly
GGCAAGAUGGCCGAGCGGUCUAAGGCGGCAGAUUUAAGUCAAGGUACUGGAACUCUGCUAGUGGAAACACUGCGUGGGUUCGAACCCCACUCUUGUCA